Long non-coding RNA from Micropterus dolomieu (smallmouth bass), 1139 nucleotides. RefSeq lists it as uncharacterized. Lineage: Eukaryota; Metazoa; Chordata; Actinopteri; Centrarchiformes; Centrarchidae. The record is from RefSeq and is a predicted model, not a curated record. The transcript is spliced from 3 exons.
AGUCACACAUCUUCAUUCCCAAACAACACAUCCUGCCUUCAGGUUAUUACUAUUCGGCUAAUUAAACAGGAACAAAAGGCUUUUAGUACAAACAGAGUGCCAACAACAAACCUACCAGCUGAGUCCCCGGUGCUGAUCCAGUCCGGGUUGGCGAUGCUGGCGAUAGCGAAGAUGUCUGCAGCGAGGAAGAGACAUCCUGAUAUCACGGCCCAAAACCACACUGUCUGGACUCAGCCAACCCCGGCUCAGCCAUCCUCAUCACUGCCCAACAUACAUGGACGUCCUGGUAGGAGUGGGCAGCCCCUGGAGAGAGCUUGAGGCCAGCCAGGGGCUGGGCAAGGGACUGGCCUGUUCUGGCAGCCGCAUAGAAUCGUCUCUGUGAAGAAGAAAGACAUGUCAGCAACCACUGACCUGCACAUCCUGUGGCUGUAACUUAACGUGUUCGGCGGCACCAGUGAACUCCACCUUACGGGCAGCCUGGGCCGCGUAAAGCCUUGUCUGGAAAAACAGAGAACAUGGGAGGGCGAGACAUUACAACUAAUGUGUUGCUGGCUUGCUCAGCUGAUGCGAGGGCAUGAAAGAUUAUGCAAUGAAUGGCGUUAGUUUUCUUAACAUGAAUUCUGUCCACAUAUGCUUCUCAUACACAACAUAUUUUCACAAAACUAAUCAAUUUAUUCAGUUUGCAUCCUCACAUGGUACAUAAGUGUAGCUGGACACCCUGCACUGCUUCUUCUGUGCUGGUAAAGUACUGUAUGUUUUGGUACAACUCUUACAGUAGACCAUGCAUAAAACUGACCAACUGCCCCUGAACGGAUUUCUGACACAUGACAAAGUAAUUCACCACAUAUAGUGUCUCUUCAGGAGCUUUCCCAUGAUCUACAUCAUCAACUCCAUCUGCUGAUGAAAAUCAUAUAAUAUGUUCUAAAGCUCAUGAACUACCUACUAAAUAGACCUGCUGGUCUUCCAAGGUAAAUUAUUUCAGACUUUUGACAGCCAAUGUGAAAUCAGUCACAAAUAACUUUAGGUUUAUUUGUAGGCUAUUUUAAUACGCACAUUAAAAGCCUUGUGUUCUUAUUUCAGUACACAUAGGCAACGUUACCAAUUCUCCAUGUUGAAAAUAUAUUUUGAUAUUUUUGUGU